This 572-nucleotide ribosomal RNA is filed under the name uncultured Glomeromycotina. RNAcentral describes it as "SSU rRNA". It matches the Rfam family "Eukaryotic small subunit ribosomal RNA", at positions 550 to 1125 of the family's 1831-position model. The record is from RNAcentral. Lineage: Eukaryota; Fungi; Glomeromycota.
UUGGAGGGCAAGUYUGGUGCCAGCAGCCGCGGUAAUUCCAGCUCCAAUAGCGUAUAUUAAAGUUGUUGCAGUUAAAAAGCUCGUAGUUGAAUUUCGGGAUUGACGUGAUGGUCAUGCCUUAAGGGGUAUGAACUGUCACUGUUGAUUUCUCACCUUCUGGAGAAACUUGAUGUCCUUUAUUGGGUGUCUUGCGGAUCCAGGACCUUUACCUUGAAAAAAUUAGAGUGUUUAAAGCAGGCAUUUUUGCUCGAAUACAUUAGCAUGGAAUAAUAGAAUAGGACGACAUGGUUCUAUUUUGUUGGUUUCUAGGAUCACCGUAAUGAUUAAUAGGGAUAGUUGGGGGCAUUAGUAUUCAAUUGUCAGAGGUGAAAUUCUUGGAUUUAUUGAAGACUAACUACUGCGAAAGCAUUUGCCAAGGAUGGUUUCAUUAAUCAAGAACGAAAGUUAGGGGAUCGAAGACGAUCAGAUACCGUCGUAGUCUUAACCAUAAACUAUGCCGACUAGGAAUCAGACGAUGUUAAUUUUUUAAUGACUCGUUUGGCACCUUACGGGAAACCAAAGUGUUUGGGUUC